Motacilla alba alba is the source of this 10116-nucleotide long non-coding RNA. RefSeq lists it as uncharacterized. The transcript is spliced from 13 exons. NCBI's taxonomy places the organism in Eukaryota, Metazoa, Chordata, Aves, Passeriformes, Motacillidae. The record is from RefSeq and is a predicted model, not a curated record.
CGAGAAAGUGAAACAAAAGGGUGUCCGGGGGAGAGUAGUCUGAAUUGGGUUAUGGGGCGCUGCCCCACCUCACCCAUUGGACUCAGCGCGCCGGCCGUGAGUCUGUCUCAAAGCACCGCGGGGCCACGAGCAUCCGCCGGGGUCCGCCGAGGAACCGCCGCGGCUUCUCCUGCCCAGGCCGGCCCGCGCGGCGCCCCCCCUUGCUGGUGGCUCACCCACCCGUCGCGGGCGGGGCCCUGCUGGGGCCGCGGGCGGCCCUUCCCUCAGACCUUCCCCGAGGCGGGGCGCGGGUGACGCGCACCCCGUGGGUGGCCUCGGCAGUGAGCUUCCCCCGGACGCUGCUCAGCGCGCUUCCGCCUCUAUAUAAAGGCUCACUUACAUGGCUUCUUCCAAGCUAGGAUGAGGCAAAGCAGUCCCUCUGCUUGUUGGGAGACAGAUGAGGAGCUACACUCCUUGCCUUGCUUCCCAAGACCUUGUGAGAACCCCAGGGUGGACACAGUGCUGGACAAGAGGUGAAGCCCUUGUUGCUCAGGUCCUGACUUGGAGUGCUCUGUGCUCCAGGGCUGCUGCUCCUCUGUAUGGAGUUCCAAACCCCCAAUUCUUCUUACUCUGGAACUUCCAAAGUGCACCUUCCACCUCCCUCAAAUGCCUUUCAGCUCUCCCUGCUGCAGCUGGACCUGCUCCAUCUCUCCUGUCCAGGGGGAAUAAAAUGCUCAACUGUCAGCUCCUGAAUGGCCCGUCGGAGACCAGGGCAAGGAGCAGCCCCUCCUGCAGCUCUGUGUUACACAGCCAUGUUGUAAGCUCAGCUGCAGAUGAGAAGUGCUUUGUUUGUGACUCCUGGGUGCUCUGCUCUUGAUGCAUCUCCCACAGAUGCAGGGCAAACUCCGCUCCUCCCGUCUGGCCUGGCUUGCAAUGAUGGAUUAAGUGGGUCAGAGUAGGAGGAGUCCUGGUAGAAGCAGUGCAUCUGAAGUGAACCUAUGGACAAGUUCACUUGUAUGUAGAAGAGAUUGCCACCCAGGACCUCUGAACUGAGCAAUGACAAGUUGCCCUGUUUUGCCCCAUGAAGAGACAGAAAACUUUGGAAACGUGCCUGAAUCAGACCCUUGCAUUUCUUUGGUGGAAAGAGCUGUUACCUUGUUUUUUAAUGGGGAGAGAAAGAGACAGCCUGGAUGGAGCUGUGAUGUCUCCUACAGGAAGCCAGGAUGGUGGCUGGAAGGAACAGAGAGAGAGCAGAAAGGAGAGAGAGAAAGAGAGAACAGACACUUGGUAGCAGCAAGUGCUGGCUCGUCUGGAAAUGGAGUGAGAAGUGGUCUGAUGGGAGCAGACCACCUACUCAUCCUCAAAACAGAGAGCUGCUGCUGGUGGCAGCAAGGUGGGGAAAUUCCCCUGGCUGUGCCUUGGUGACCAGAUAGGUUUAUUUCCCACAGGAGGUCUCCAAGCAUUUUAAAAGGAAGCUAACAUCACAGAUUGAAAAAUUUCCCUUCUUGAGGCUUCAGUGACUAAGUUUGGAGCCAGCCAGAGGAACCUACUGUUCUCUCUCAGGGGCUGCCUGUGGUGCUGCAUUAACAUCACAUCUCUGUGGUGAAGGUAAGCUGGUUCUCAGUGCUCCCUGAGACACAGACUCAGAGGGAGCCCCAUCUCUCCUCUUCACUCUACCUGGGUGCCCACCACAUGCACAGCCCUCUGAGAAGGAGCUCCCUGGCUGGGAGGGUGAAGGCUUGGAGGUAUUUAUGCCUUUUGGGAUGGGUUUUAUCAGGAAUGGGAUUUGAGCUCCCUGAGAGGGAGGUGACACAGGCUGGCAGCUAGGGAAUUGGUUUGGAACAUCAGAACAAAUGGCUGCUGUAAUUUUGGAGCAUUCCCUUGUUAAGUUACCUCUCAUGUUGCCCUCCUCCAUUUUGAAACUGAGAGGAAAACAUGGCUCCUGAGCAUUUUUCCCCCUAUGAUGCCUUCACCUUUCUUGUAUUCCCUUUUCUCCUACGAUCUCAGCUGGCUGAGUUUCGCUGCCAGCCUAUUGAAAGGAAAGGCACGUGCUGGCUUUUGGAGGGAGAGAGACCUGAGACAGGAUAAAUCUGUAUGCAAUGAGAAUGGGGGGAAGCAAGUCAGCUGCUCUGACACUUUUAUUAUGGAGCCAGGCUGCUUGGGGAUGAAUCUUUUCUUGAAACAUGUUGCUGGAUGACAUUUCUACCAGGUCUCAGCAGUAACCUUCACCAAGCCUUGCUGCCCAGCCCUGUGCUUGCCUUUUCCUGGGACAAAGAGAACGAAUAUCAGCUGGAAAUGCCACAGGCAGCAGGGACCAAUGGGGCUCAAUGUACCUCCAGUGAGUCUGAAAGGACCUGGACUUUCUCACCAGAAGCUCUUCAGGCUUUGCUGACUCCAGCUUAUGGCUGCAUGUGUUGUUUUGCAAAGGAGUUGUGGGCUCCUACAUCUGUUUCUCAUUUCAGAAACAAAGAGGAUGCAGCAGACACCAAAAUGAAAUUCUCUUUGGAGUUGUCCAGAAGGAUGGAUAAGUGCAAGCAAAUAUAAUUCCAUGGCUCUGGAAAAGGAGUAUCCACUUGUUUAGUAACCUGGUAAUGAGGUGCUGGCUGUGCUCCGUGCAGAGGCUGGAAGCCACGGGAGAUUUGGGGUUACAGAGAGGGCUGGGCAGGGUUUGCUGCCCUCUCAGCUCCUUUCCUGUAUCACUGUCAGCUUAGAUUUCACAUCAAGAGCGUGAUGUUAUGUCUGGCGGUGACAACAGCAGAAUGUCACUGGCAGAGGUGAAAUCUUUCCCUCCAUGAGGGUAAUUCUCCCUUCCCUUUCCCCUUCCCCUUGGCUUGUGUUGGGCCCUGCUGGCUCCUGGUGCUGAGCAGGGCAGGCCCUCAUGCUGCUCAGGGACAGCAUCUACUGUGCUGAGCAGCACUUCCUGCUGUCUGGGUCAGUGGCUCCCUGUCUCUGAUGCCUCUUGGCUGCAGGGUGACCUGGGACAGAGGGAAAACCCUCGUCAGUCACUGCCUGAAACAAACCGGAGCCGUUGGAAGCUGCAAUGUUUGCCUUCAUGGCAGCACUGCACAGAGUGGUCCUCUGCCAUGCUGGCAGGCUUGUACCAGCAGGAGGUCUGCCACGGAUGUUCUUUCAGAGCCCUGGGGGCCCCUGUGCUCUUUAGGGCCAGGCCUAAUCUAGGUCUGGCUCUGAGGGGCAGCCUUUCAUGUUAAUGGUUCAUGUUCUCUGCAGGCUGCCUCUCACCUCCUCUGAGCAGGAGCUGAUCCUGUAGAAAGGUGCCUGUGCCUACCUGCUCCAGCUGCCCUCUGCCAGCAUCUGUCCCCAAGGGCCAGUGCAGCAAAGCCUUGGUGUUGUUCUGGGCCCAGUUUUCAUUUUUCAGCUGGUUAUGGAGAAAAGGAUGAAGGUACCUGCUGCUGCCAGGCCACAGUGGAAAACAGAGGAAGGGGACUGGCCUCUUAGUGUGCUUAAAGAUCCAAAAGUUUAAUCUGACUCUGCUUCUCUCUCAGCCCUGAUCCUGUUGUAUCUUUUCCAUCUGAUGCCUGAGCCUUUUUCUGUUUUGCUAUUUUUUUCUUGUUCCCUUUUUCCCCUCGCUUUAUGAAAAAUGGCUUUCCCAUCUGCAUCUGUCAGGAGUCUGCCUGAGCUGGGUGUAUGGCUCAGUGAAUAUACAAAUGUGUGGUUGGGUCAUGGCUCCCCUGACAGGCCCAAGAUGAAUUCCAAACGUGCAGGGAGAAGGGCUUCUGCUGCCUCUCAUGGUUGUUUUUGUUAUCCCAAGGAGGUGUGAGAAUUGCCUUUGGGAGCAGUGCUUCCUUCUGCUCCUGCUCUGCCUUACCAAGGAUCAGUUCUCUCUCAUCCAUCAUCAGAUGAGUCCUCCUUGCUCCCACAUCUCAGUUGCUGAUGGAAAUGCCGGGGAAAGGGAAAACUUUUUCAUCCUGCUUUUUACUACUAUUCUUUUUCCUCUGCCUUUUGCAUCCCACCUGUUAGUUCCAUGAUGAUGCCUUUGGCAGGCUGGGGCUUGAGGACACUUGCCGGUCCAAGUACUUUUAAAGAGAGUAAAGGAUGAGGUAGAGGGAAGGGCAUUGUUUUGUAGAAUUAUAGAAUAUCCUGAGUUGGAAUCCACAAGGAUCAUCGAGUCUAACUCCUGACCUUGCGCAGGACACCCCAACAAUCCCACCAUGUGUCUGAGAGCAUUGUCCAAGCACUCCUUGAGCUCUGGCGGGCUUGUGGCUAUGACCACUGCCCUGGGGAGCCUGUUCCAGUGCCCAAUCACCCUCUGAGUGAGGUACAUUUUCCUAAUACCCACCCUAAACCUCCCCUGACACAGCUUCUCGCUGUUCCUUUGGGUCCUGUUGCUGGUCACCAGUUUGACCUAAGGGGCUUAAAGUGCAGCUUUGGAAUUUUUUCAGCAGUGGUGCACGACUCCACAUAAGAUGCCCUGAAAGCACCCAGAUGCUCCUGCACAUUUCAGCCUCUCUGUGUCCCCUUUCCCUGCUGCAGGUGACCAGCACCGUGGGGCUCUGCAAGGAGGAGUUCACCGUCUAUGCUGCAGGGUCUCUCAGGUGCCCAAAGGGACUUGACAGCCUGCCCUGACACCCCUGGGUUUGCUGAGCUGCUCCUGCCUCUUGGCUUUGUGCAGGCUGAUGGAUGUUCAGUGGGGACCCACGAAAACCAUCUCGCUCCAGGCUGCAAGCCCACCAAACCAAAGUGUUGUGCUGACGUGGAAAAAAACAUCGCUCCGUUGAUGCUCAGCCUGGAUUGCUUCUUCCAUUCGACUCAGGACACAGCAACAGCCUCCUCCUGCCACCAGCUCCCACGAGGAGCCAGCUGCACACCUGCAACCAGGCGAGGAGGGAGCAGGAGCUGUUGAGCCACGAGGAAGGCGACCGAUGGCAGAUUCCUGCAGCAUUUCCACCCCGCGGGGCUCUUGGCGAGAGUCUGCUUUGAAAGCUCUUAGUGCUCCUGCAGGAGCCUUUCUGAGAGUGUUGCUCCCAACACCACUGCCAAGUCUCAGGAGAGAAGGAAUCUCUUUUCAGCAGUUUCGUGGGCUUUGGAAGAGCCCCCUGAUCUAUGGCCAAUGAGGAGAUGUCCUGAAUGGAGCAAGCCUGAUCCAAACAACACUCUCCUCCCAGCAGCCUCCUGGGAUUUAUAGGAUUUCACAUCCCUGGACACUAUUUGGGGUGGUUUAUGUGCCACAUUUUUUUACCGUUAUGUUGGUCAAACAGCCAUAGAAAGUAGCUUGGGAAAACAAGGUGGGAGAUAAAUCCUUGUGGCGUGGGCUCUCCCAGCGAUAAAAUGGGCUACAGGUGGAGAAAUAGGCCCUUGAGACCCUUUAUUUCCUUCAAUUCCCAUCUUCCUGAGUGGAUCAAUACCACCAGGGGCAAGGAAAGGGUGAGGAGCCAUUGCAGGGAAUCACUUUAAGGGAAAAAGCUGGAAGGUGGUAACUGAUGUAGCAACCACUGCUGAUUUUUGAGGCAGAUGGGCUGUGAGGGUUUGUGUAUCCCAUGAGGGUUUGUGUACAGAGAAGAGGAUGCCUGUAGGCUGGGAGAGCACUUUUAAAAAUAAUUUGACUGAUUUUUCUCCUUCUUUCUUCCCAUCCAGUCAGUCUCCACUCCUGGCAUAUGCAGUAGGAGCAAAAUGUCUCCCUUGCAGAUUUUUGGGGGAUUUUAUUCCACCCUACAGGAAAACUCCUCCGAAUUUCAUCCCAUCGCCCCACCCAAUUCUGCCCACCUCAACCCUUGGUCCAGGAGCACAGCGCAGAGGUCCUGUGGAAGCAGGACCUGGGGUCUCCUGGGGACAGCUCUGAGGGUCCCAGGGGAGCUCUGUGGCAGGCAGGGGUCAGGGUCCAGUGGAUGAGGUAAAUCCCCCAGCCAGGCUCCUGGCUGUGGGUCAGCUGUGUCCCUGGCUCCAGCACGGAUGAUUUACAUGGGCUGUGGGGACACCCCAGGGCAGGGCACCCGUAUUUAAUGGGUGAGGAUAUUGCUGCUGGCAGCUGCAGCUCCCAGCCAAGAGCUCAGGGAGGAGAAAGCAAUUUGCCAUCGUCAUCCCUGGUCCUCUGCCAAUUUUUCCACUUGCAGAAUGGGGUGCAGCGAAGAGACUUUAUUUGAUGGUGCCUGAAGAGGUCUCCAGGUUCUCCUGAAGAGCUGGGAGUGACUGAGGGCUCUCAAGGAGGCCAAGGGCUGGUGCAGGCACUGGGGUUGGGUGGCUGAGGUUAUGCUUUUUGAUCUUUGCUUAAGGAGGAGUUGGUGGGGAGGGAAGAAGGGAGCUGAGGAACUGGGACUGGAGCUUCCUGAGGUCCCCCCCCAGCUGGAGUCAUCCCAGGUUCUCAUUGAGCUCCUAGUGGGGACACAGAAGAGUGGAUGGGACAUCUCCUGCAUGCCUGGGCUUGCAGAAACCUCCCUGUUGCCUGCUCUGUGCUGAUUCUCCUGCCUCCUUCAGAGACUGAGGCUGGAGGCUGAGGAGGAGGAAGAGGGAGGAAGAAGCUGAGGUCACCACCAUUUCAGGAGGUUGUUAAUUUUCCCCUCAUUCUCCUUUAGAAGUGGCCAUUCACCACAGACCCUGUAAAUCCUCUCUGGGGAGAAAACACCAGGGAGCAUGGCAUGGGGGGAUGAGAACCCUUGGUGGCUUUGAAAGAGAUGGCAGAGAGGAAAAACAGCCCCCCCAAUGGCAAAGGGGAGAAAGAGACUUAGAGAAAGAAGCUGAAAAUGUGCUGAAGCAGCUGAUGACAGCCCAAACUGCAGGAGAAGGCUCCUGCCUGCCAAUUAACGAGCCUCUGGUGCUAAUUUGCCACCUUGACUGCACUUCUGAGCUUGUCAGAAGGGGGAGGAAAAACAAAAAGAUGAGGCUAAAAAAGAGCUGGCGAGGUUUUGGUUUGCCUCUUGGCUAUGCAGAUGUCGCUGGGCUUCAGAGAGCAGGGGAAACAGAGGGACUGGUGGCAAACCCCACCAAUCCACAAGCCUGGCGUGUGAAGAGACUGAUGACAAGUUUCCAUGGGCUUGUGUUGGCAGAGCAGCCCUAGGCCAUGGUGCUGCCCAACUUAGGAGUGCCAAUUUCCCGGGGAUCACAUCCCACCAUCUGCUGGGUCAGUGGGGAGAGUGAGAGGUGUGCCCAUGUGUGCCCAGGAGCAUCUCUGGUACCUCUGGUGAGUGAUUUAUGAGGAAGGAGCCAGGGCAGCCCUGUGCUGGGGCAGAGAGGGCCACGGGCAGCUUGGCAUCUCGCGCCUCCCCCAGCAGCGCCGUCAAACACAGAGCAGACCUGCUGGCAGCUGCCUGGUGUGGCUAACAGAGCUGCAGGAGCCCUGGGCAAAAUGCUCAGCGUGAAGCUUCCUGCCAAGCCAAACGUCUGAUUCCCUCUUCUUGCCCACCCCGCAGCCCAAACCCAGAGACCACAGGGAUGGAUUAAAAGCAACAUCUGCACCAGUGUGCUGCUUGCAUGCAAAGCAGAAGAGCUCCUGCCAGGGAAGCGUGUUGCCUGGAACUCUCCCAGCCCUCCCUCCUCCCCUGGGAUGUUUUCUUUCCUAUGCAUCCACAUUCUUCUCCCAGGCUGACGCAGUGUUAGCUGGGAGCCACAAGGGGUAAACUGAGGCAGGCUGGAGCAAGCAUGCAGACUGAGGCUCACAGCCUCUCUCCAUGCUGGCUCUUCGUGGCAAAGCUGUCCUUGCUGCUUGGGCCCAGCCUGAUGCAGAGAUGCCCUUGGGCCACCGCCUCGUGGCACACAGGGCCGGAGGCCCAGACAGUGCUGCGGGAUAAGGGUGAAGACAGGAGGGGGAAAGGGUGUAGGUUACCAAGGGGGAGCUGUGGGCUCUUUGCUCAGGUGCAGCCCAUCACUGGCUGUCUCAGGGUGGCAGAUGGAAUUAGGACCAGCCCCAGCCAGGGGGCUGUGAGCUCUCUCUGCCCUGGGAGAGCUGUGCAGGUAACCCCAUCCUGCUGCCUGGGCUGGGGGUGAAACAUCCUGGCCCUUCCCUGGCCUCCUUUUCCCUGGCAGAGCUGCUGAACAAACGUGUCUGGAGGGAACCGGAGUGUCUGCAGUCAAGCAAGCGAAGAGCUCAGCUUGUUAUUUAAAGGCCAUUUUCUGGCUUCCAUACUGCAGGGAAUCUCGUAGAAACACAGAGCCUAGAAAGGGACAACCCCAAACACACCAGUUGUUAAAGCCUAAUGGGUUUGGUGCUGAAUUCCUGGUUCAGGCUGGCUGUCUCCAUCCUGCUGGUGUUGUGCAGCAGCAGCUCUCCAGCCAGCCCUGCUGCCAUCAGCACUGUUCUGUGCAGGGGAAAGCACUGCAAGGGAAUCAAAUGCUGACCUCCAGUAAUUAACCUCGUCCUUUUAAUCACCUCCACUGAGUGCCUUAAUUGCUGGGCAGGGAUGGGAGGACCUGGCUGCUUCCACCUGAGAUUCCCACGCAGCCUGGCACUCCCCUCCCAGGGCAUGCUGCUGCUGCUGCUGCUCUUCCUUUAACUCACACACAUCCCCAAAAAUGGGGGGAGCAUGUCUCUCCCAAAAUACAGCAAUUUAGCAGCCAAAUUUAAGGAACCAACUCUGUCUGUUUCUCUGAAUUAAAGAGGGGGUGCGGCCCCUCUUUAAUGGUGUUGGGGGUGGGUCACCAAGGCCUUGUCUGCCUGUCCCUGUGCUUCCCAAUGGGAAGUGCUUUUUGGUGGGACAGGACUCUGGCAGCUGCCAGCCCUGGAAUGCCAUGCACAGCCUCAUUCCUAAUGGGAAUUGGCAAUUUGGGCCAAACUCAGUGCUUUUGGGCAACAGAUUAUGGAUAUUGCUGGGGGGCUGUGGGAAGAGGAGAGUGCAGCCCCAGGGGCAGCUGCUGAGGAUGCAAAGAGCUGAUGGCUCAUCCUUCCAGCUGCCUGCCUCCCCUUACUCCCCGCUUUUUAUUUUUUGCACCUAAUUAAAAGUAAAUGGCCUUCAUCCACCUCCCUCCUCACACAUGGGCAUCACCUGGCUCCAUCUGGAGCCUGCACAAAGCCAGAGAAGUCCAGGGUCCAUCCCUUGAUGGGUACCUUGAGGUGCUGCCAGUCAUCUAACAGCUCUUGCUUUCAUAUUCAGGUGGGUUAAGGAUGUGGGACUGGUUAAGGGCACCAAAAACCAUGGUAGGAAAUGCUCUGUCUGGAUGGAGUUGAGGAUGUUAGCCUGACACAUGGCCCACAUGAUGAUGGGGAGAACCCCAGAAUGGUUUGGGUUAGAAGACACCUUAAAUCUCAUCUCGUUCUAACCUUCCAUAGGCAGGGACACCUUCCAGUAAGACCCAAGCCUCAUCCAACCUGGCCUUGGACACUUCCAGGGAUGGGGCAGCCACAGCUGCUCUGGACAACCAAGAAGCGAUGGAAUAAUUAUAGCAGAAGCCAAAAUAACUUCUCUAGCUGGGAAUCCUCCUGGCAGCCCUGCCUGCUCAGGAGCACUGCUGGCCUUCAUGCCUAUGUCCUCCCCAUCCCCAGGCUGGUGUCUGCCAGCUUUGCCUAGAGAGCCCAGAGGAUGGCUUUGACUUUUCAUUUCCUCUGGUGUGUUUAAUUGCCUGAUUUUUUUUUCCCUUUAGGACUGGGAGGAAGAGAGGAAAGGUGGGCAAAGGAAGACAGAUGUGUGGAAAAUAGAAGUCUAGGUGACAGAUUGAGGGCUGCUAUAACCACAAUAGCCAGCCUGAUGGAUUGAUAGAUUAGACAGGGAAUAUAAAUAGCAAGUAUGGUUUAUCUAUCCCUGUUUUAUUUUCCUCUUGUCUGUCUCUUUAUCUCUCCUGGUGUUAUUUUCCUCCCGCUUAUCUCUUUAUCUGCCCAGCCCGGGGAUGGGGGAGAGGCGGGUGACAGAAGCAGGAUGGAUGAGUUCAGGUUUCCACUGCCUUUGCAGCAUCCAAGCAGACAAGUUUUGCCAGCUGUGGAGUAUUAGAAGGCGGCCUCGGAUCUGCACACUGAUUCACUUUUCCCACCCCUCUCCUUUGCCUGCACCAUCCCCUCUGUCUGCACGCUCUCCCUCGGGGAUCCCUGCGGUCAGGGGGCUGGCUCCUUCCUCUCUCUGCCUCAUCCUUGGCCAAAGAAUGAGGGCAGGCACUGGAGCAGUGAGCUCUGCUCGUCUGGGUACCUGGCAUUCCCAUCUGACAGCCGGGCAGCUCCACUGCUUGAUAUUCCAGUCAGGCACCCGGUACAGCAGCGGCAGC